This 465-nucleotide ribosomal RNA is filed under the name Vreelandella stevensii. RNAcentral's name for it is "partial 16S ribosomal RNA". It matches the Rfam family "Bacterial small subunit ribosomal RNA", at positions 338 to 795 of the family's 1533-position model. The record is from RNAcentral. Lineage: Bacteria; Pseudomonadati; Pseudomonadota; Gammaproteobacteria; Oceanospirillales; Halomonadaceae.
CCUACGGGAGGCAGCAGUGGGGAAUAUUGGACAAUGGGGGCAACCCUGAUCCAGCCAUGCCGCGUGUGUGAAGAAGGCCCUCGGGUUGUAAAGCACUUUCAGUGAGGAAGAACGCCUGGUGGUUAAUACCCAUCAGGAAAGACAUCACUCACAGAAGAAGCACCGGCUAACUCCGUGCCAGCAGCCGCGGUAAUACGGAGGGUGCGAGCGUUAAUCGGAAUUACUGGGCGUAAAGCGCGCAUAGGUGGCUUGAUAAGCCGGUUGUGAAAGCCCCGGGCUCAACCUGGGAACGGCAUCCGGAACUGUCAAGCUAGAGUGCAGGAGAGGAAGGUAGAAUUCCCGGUGUAGCGGUGAAAUGCGUAGAGAUCGGGAGGAAUACCAGUGGCGAAGGCGGCCUUCUGGACUGACACUGACACUGAGGUGCGAAAGCGUGGGUAGCAAACAGGAUUAGAUACCCUUGUAGUC